AACGAACGCUGGCGGCAUGCCUAACACAUGCAAGUCGAACGAGACCUUCGGGUCUAGUGUCGCACGGGUGCGUAACGCGUGGGAACCUUCCCUUAGGUUCGGAAUAACUCCCCGAAAGGGGUGCUAAUACCGGAUAAUGUCUUCGGACCAAAGAUUUAUCGCCUUUGGAUGGUCCCGCGUUGGAUUAGCUAGUUGGUAGGGUAAAAGCCUACCAAGGCGACGAUCCAUAGCUGGUCUGAGAGGAUGAUCAGCCACACUGGGACUGAGACACGGCCCAGACUCCUACGGGAGGCAGCAGUGGGGAAUAUUGGAAAAUGGGAGAAAGCAUGAUCCAGCAAUGCCGGGUGAGUGAUGAAGGCAUUAGGGUUGUAAAGCUCUUUUACCCGGGAUGAUAAUGACAGUACCGGGAGAAUAAGCUCCGGCUAACUCCGUG
Molecule: ribosomal RNA, 433 nt
Filed under: uncultured bacterium
Lineage: Bacteria
Description: partial 16S ribosomal RNA
Rfam family: Bacterial small subunit ribosomal RNA
Source: RNAcentral